This is a regulatory RNA element of Buceros rhinoceros silvestris, 108 nucleotides long. It matches the Rfam family "Potassium channel RNA editing signal". From Rfam's summary of the family: This family represents a group of sequences related to the human potassium channel Kv1.1 hairpin element which directs the efficient modification of an adenosine to inosine by an adenosine deaminase acting on RNA (ADAR). The ADAR modification causes an isoleucine/valine recoding event which lies in the ion-conducting pore of the potassium channel. Lineage: Eukaryota; Metazoa; Chordata; Aves; Bucerotiformes; Bucerotidae. The record is from Rfam.
GUGGGCUAUGGUGACAUGUACCCUGUGACAAUUGGAGGCAAAAUCGUAGGCUCCUUGUGUGCCAUCGCUGGUGUGCUGACAAUUGGGGCGGUGGUAUCCAUGACCACU